GUACUCGCUUCGGCGGUAAAUAUACUAAAAUUGGAACUAUCAGAGAAGAUUAGCGUGGCCCCUGCGCAAACAUGACACGCAAAAUCGUCAAGCGUUCCACAUUUCA
Schistocerca cancellata (South American locust) is the source of this 106-nucleotide small nuclear RNA. The record is from RefSeq and is a predicted model, not a curated record. Lineage: Eukaryota; Metazoa; Arthropoda; Insecta; Orthoptera; Acrididae.